Molecule: ribosomal RNA, 492 nt
Filed under: uncultured bacterium
Lineage: Bacteria
Description: partial 16S ribosomal RNA
Rfam family: Bacterial small subunit ribosomal RNA
Source: RNAcentral
AGUGAACGCUGGCGGUAGGCCUAACACAUGCAAGUCGAACGGCAGCACAGUAAGAGCUUGCUCUUACGGGUGGCGAGUGGCGGACGGGUGAGGAAUACAUCGGAAUCUACUUUUUCGUGGGGGAUAACGUAGGGAAACUUACGCUAAUACCGCAUACGACCUACGGGUGAAAGCAGGGGAUCUUCUGACCUUGCGCGAUUGAAUGAGCCGAUGUCGGAUUAGCUAGUUGGCGGGGUAAAGGCCCACCAAGGCGACGAUCCGUAGCUGGUCUGAGAGGAUGAUCGGCCACACUGGAACUGAGACACGGUCCAGACUCCUACGGGAGGCAGCAGUGGGGAAUAUUGGACAAUGGGCGCAAGCCUGAUCCAGCCAUACCGCGUGGGUGAAGAAGGCGUUCGGGUUGUAAAGCCCUUUUGUUGGGAAAGAAAAGCAGCAGGUUAAUACCCCGCUGUUCUGACGGUACCCAAAGAAUAAGCACCGGCUAACUUCGUG